AUGGCGGCCGAGAAGCUCGUCACCUCCGUGGACUUCGAGGACGACGUGAUCACCGCCACCGUCACGUCCUCCGGCGACGCCGUCAAAGCCUGGCUCCGCCAGAUCCGCUACGUCUACCGCUGGGUCUACCACAAGCUCAUCGUGGGACUGGACGUCGAGUGGCGCCCCAGCUACGGCCGCGCGCAGAACCCCGUCGCGCUCCUGCAGCUCUGCGUCGGCCGCCGCUGCCUCGUCUUCCAGCUCCUCCACGCCGACUUCGUCCCGCGGGCCCUCCACCGCUUCCUCGCCAACCCGGACUUCCGAUUCGUCGGCGUCGGCGUGCAGGACGACGCCGACCGCCUCAGCAACGACUACGGCCUCGAGGUCGCCAACGCCGUCGACCUGCGCAACCUCGCGGCCGACGAGAUGCGCAGGCCGUGGCUCCGCCAGGCGGGGCUCAAGGGCGUCGCGGGCGUCGUCAUGGGGGCCAACCUCAACAAGCCACGCAGGGUCAGGAUGGGGCCGUGGGACGCCUGCCGCCUCUCCCAAGAGCAGAUCCAGUACGCCAGCAUCGACGCCUUCGUCUUAUUUGAGGUCGGCCGGAAGCUCCUCACCGGCGACUACUCCUCCGAAGAGGAGGACUACUGA
Molecule: ribosomal RNA, 627 nt
Filed under: Triticum aestivum (bread wheat)
Lineage: Eukaryota; Viridiplantae; Streptophyta; Magnoliopsida; Poales; Poaceae
Description: partial small subunit ribosomal RNA
Source: RNAcentral